RNAcentral lists this ribosomal RNA (404 nucleotides) under uncultured bacterium. Its description in RNAcentral is "partial 16S ribosomal RNA". It matches the Rfam family "Bacterial small subunit ribosomal RNA", at positions 30 to 526 of the family's 1533-position model. The record is from RNAcentral.
AUUGAACGCUGGCGGCAGGCCUAACACAUGCAAGUCGAGCGAGCGGCGGACGGGUGAGUAAUGCCUGGGAGUUGCCCAGUCGAGGUGGAUAACAGAUGGAAACGACUGCUAGUACCGCAUACGAUUGGCUUGCCCGGGGUGGAUUAGCUAGUUGGUGAGUUAAUGGCUCACCAAGGCGACGAUCCAUAGCGGGCCUGAGAGGAUGAUCAGCCACACUGGGACUGAGACACGGCCCAGACUCCUACGGGAGGCAGCAGUGGGGAAUAUUGCACAAUGGGGGAAACUCUGAUGCAGCAAUGCCGCGUGUGUGAAGAAGGCUUUCGGGUUGUAAAGCACUUUCAUCGAUGAGGCGUUACUCGAAGAAGAAGCACCGGCUAACUCCGUGCCAGCAGCCGCGGUAAUUC